Molecule: ribosomal RNA, 699 nt
Filed under: Piromyces sp.
Lineage: Eukaryota; Fungi; Neocallimastigomycota; Neocallimastigomycetes; Neocallimastigales; Neocallimastigaceae
Description: LSU rRNA
Rfam family: Eukaryotic large subunit ribosomal RNA
Source: RNAcentral
GGGAAGAGCUCAAAUUUGAAAUCUUCAAGGUUUUACCUUGACGAAUUGUAGUUUAAAGAAGUGUUUUCUGUUGAAGUUUUGGUAAAAGUUCUUUGGAAUAGGACAUCAUAGAGGGUGAGAAUCCCGUAUUUGACCAUUAUUUUCAGCUGUGUGAUACACUUUCAAAGAGUCGGAUUGUUUGGGAAUGCAGUCCAAAAUGGGUGGUAAAUUUCAUCUAAAGCUAAAUAUUGGCGAGAGACCGAUAGCGAACAAGUACCGUGAGGGAAAGAUGAAAAGAACUUUGAAAAGAGAGUUAAACAGUACGUGAAAUUGUCAAAAGGGAAGCGUUUGACACCAGUGUUGUUUUCUCGAAAAUCAAUUAAAAAAAGUUGGAUUUUGUGUUGUAUUGACCUUAACAGCUUGCUUCACUCUUUUCCUGCUUUUUUUAAUGCACUUUUCGUUUAACAAGUCAACAUCAGUUUCUUUUGUUGUAAAAGGGUCAUUGGAAGGUGGCUUUCUCUUCGGAGAAAGUGUUUAUAGCCUUUGAUCUCUGCAAUCGGAGAGACUGAGGUCUGCAGCGUAGAUCCUUCGGGGUUAGAUACAUUUGUGCUAAGCUACAGCUUUUCAUAGACAACUUGUUGACUAUGUUUAGUCUUGUGACUUACCCGCUUAUGCUAUUUUACCUACGCUUAGGAUGUUGACAAAAUGGUUUUAAACGAC